ACAGGGAUUGCCCUAGUAACGGCGAGUGAAGCGGCAACAGCUCAAAUUUGAAAUCUGGCGUCUUCGGCGUCCGAGUUGUAAUUUGCAGAGGGCGCUUUGGCAUUGGCAGCGGUCCAAGUUCCUUGGAACAGGACGUCACAGAGGGUGAGAAUCCCGUACGUGGUCGCUAGCCUUUACCGUGUAAAGCCCCUUCGACGAGUCGAGUUGUUUGGGAAUGCAGCUCUAAAUGGGAGGUAAAUUUCUUCUAAAGCUAAAUACUGGCCAGAGACCGAUAGCGCACAAGUAGAGUGAUCGAAAGAUGAAAAGCACUUUGGAAAGAGAGUUAAAAAGCACGUGAAAUUGUUGAAAGGGAAGCGCUUGCAGCCAGACUUGCCUGUAGUUGCUCAUCCGGGUUUCUACCCGGUGCACUCUUCUAUAGGCAGGCCAGCAUCAGUUUGGGCGGUUGGAUAAAGGUCUCUGUCAUGUACCUCYYYUCGGGGAGAACUUAUAGGGGAGACGACAUGCAACCAGCCYGGACUGAGGUCCGCGCAUCUGCUAGGAUGCUGGCGUAAUGGCUGUAAGCGGCCCGUCUUGAAACACGGACCAAGGAGUCUAACAUCUAUGCGAGUGUUUGGGUGUCAAGCCCGARCGCGUAAUGAAAGUGAACGGAGGUGGGAACCUUUCGGGGUGCACCAUCGACCGAUCCUGAUGUCUUCGGAUGGAUUUGAGUAAGAGCAUAGCUGUUGGGACCCGAAAGAUGGUGAACUAUGCUUGAAUAGGGUGAAGCCAGAGGAAACUCUGGUGGAGGCUCGCAGCGGUUCUGACGUGCAAAUCGAUCGUCAAAUUUGGGCAUAGGGGCGAAAGACUAAUCGAACUAUCUAGUAGCUGGUUCCUGCCGAAGUUUCCCUCAGGAUAGCAGUAACGUUUUCAGUUUUAUGAGGUAAAGCGAAUGAUUAGAGGCCUGGGGGUUGAAACAACCUU
Molecule: ribosomal RNA, 960 nt
Filed under: Allophoma oligotrophica
Lineage: Eukaryota; Fungi; Ascomycota; Dothideomycetes; Pleosporales; Didymellaceae
Description: eukaryotic LSU rRNA
Rfam family: Eukaryotic large subunit ribosomal RNA
Source: RNAcentral